UACGUAGGGUGCAAGCGUUGUCCGGAUUUAUUGGGCGUAAAGAGCUCGUAGGCGGCUUGUCGCGUCGGAUGUGAAAGCCCGGGGCUUAACUCCGGGUCUGCAUUCGAUACGGGCAGGCUAGAGUUCGGUAGGGGAGAUCGGAAUUCCUGGUGUAGCGGUGAAAUGCGCAGAUAUCAGGAGGAACACCGGUGGCGAAGGCGGAUCUCUGGGCCGAUACUGACGCUGAGGAGCGAAAGCGUGGGGAGCGAACAGG
Molecule: ribosomal RNA, 253 nt
Filed under: uncultured bacterium
Lineage: Bacteria
Description: partial 16S ribosomal RNA
Rfam family: Bacterial small subunit ribosomal RNA
Source: RNAcentral